Molecule: ribosomal RNA, 490 nt
Filed under: uncultured bacterium
Lineage: Bacteria
Description: partial 16S ribosomal RNA
Rfam family: Bacterial small subunit ribosomal RNA
Source: RNAcentral
GAUGAACGCUCGCGGCAGGCCUAAUACAUGCAAGUCGAACGGGAUCCAGAUCAAAGCUUGCUUUGGUUUGGUGAGAGUGGCGCACGGGUGCGUAACGCGUGAGCAACCUACCCUUGUCAGGGGGAUAGCCCGGCGAAAGUCGGAUUAAUACCGCAUGACAUCAUUGAGAGGCAUCUUUCGAUGAUCAAAGAUUUAUCGGACAAGGAUGGGCUCGCGUGACAUUAGCUAGUUGGUAAGGUAACGGCUUACCAAGGCUACGAUGUCUAGGGGCUCUGAGAGGAGAAUCCCCCAAAAUGGUACUGAGACACGGACCAGACUACUACGGGAGGCAGCAGUAAGGAAUAUUGGUCAAUGGACGGAAGUCUGAACCAGCCAUGCCGCGUGCAGGAAGACGGCCCUAUGGGUGGUAAACUGCUUUUAUACGGGAACAACCGUCGGUACGUGUACCGGUCUGAGUGUACCGUAAGAAUAAGGAUCGGCUAACUCCGUG